RNAcentral lists this ribosomal RNA (468 nucleotides) under uncultured Alphaproteobacteria bacterium. RNAcentral describes it as "bacterial SSU rRNA". It matches the Rfam family "Bacterial small subunit ribosomal RNA", at positions 9 to 521 of the family's 1533-position model. Lineage: Bacteria; Pseudomonadati; Pseudomonadota; Alphaproteobacteria. The record is from RNAcentral.
GAGUUUGAUCAUGGUUCAGAACGAACGCUGGCGGCAUGCCUAACACAUGCAAGUCGAACGAAGGCUUCGGCCUUAGUGGCGCACGGGUGCGUAACGCGUGGGAAUCUGCCCUUUGCUUCGGAAUAACAGUGGGAAACUACUGCUAAUACCGGAUGAUGUCUUCGGACCAAAGAUUUAUCGGCAAGGGAUGAGCCCGCGUAGGAUUAGGUAGUUGGUGGGGUAAAGGCCUACCAAGCCGACGAUCCUUAGCUGGUCUGAGAGGAUGAUCAGCCACACUGGGACUGAGACACGGCCCAGACUCCUACGGGAGGCAGCAGUGGGGAAUAUUGGACAAUGGGGGGAACCCGUCGAUCCAGCAAUGCCGCGUGAGUGAUGAAGGCCUUAGGGUUGUAAAGCUCUUUUACCAGGGAUGAUAAUGACAGUACCUGGAGAAUAAGCUCCGGCUAACUCCGUGCCAGCCGCCGCGGU